GACAGAGGGUGCAACCGUUGCUCGGAAUUACUGGGCGUAAAGCGCGUGUAGGUGGCUUGGUGUGUCAGAUGUGAAAGCCCUGGGCUCAACCCAGGAACUGCACCUGAAACUACCAGUCUUGAGUGGUGGAGAGGGAAGUGGAAUUCCUGGUGUAGAGGUGAAAUUCGUAGAUAUCAGGAGGAACACCGAUGGCGAAGGCAGGUCUCUGGGCCACUACUGACGCUGAGAAGCGAAAGCAUGGGGAGCGAACAGG
RNAcentral lists this ribosomal RNA (253 nucleotides) under uncultured bacterium. Its description in RNAcentral is "partial 16S ribosomal RNA". It matches the Rfam family "Bacterial small subunit ribosomal RNA", at positions 524 to 776 of the family's 1533-position model. The record is from RNAcentral.